This 464-nucleotide ribosomal RNA is filed under the name Phrynobatrachus kakamikro. RNAcentral's name for it is "partial 16S ribosomal RNA". It matches the Rfam family "Bacterial large subunit ribosomal RNA", at positions 1945 to 2582 of the family's 2925-position model. Lineage: Eukaryota; Metazoa; Chordata; Amphibia; Anura; Phrynobatrachidae. The record is from RNAcentral.
ACCGCGCGAAGGUAGCAUAAUCACUUGUUCUUUAAAUAAGGACUAGUAUCAACGGCAUCACGAGGGUUACCCUGUCUCCUCUCUCUAAUCAGUGAAUCUGACCUCUUCGUGAAGAGGCGAAGAUAUAGUUAUAAGACGAGAAGACCCCAUGGAGCUUAAAACAUAGAAACACUUUCUUCGCCACAAACCCUAAAAGAUAGAAAAUAUGUUAGCUAGUUUUCGGCUGGGGUGCCCAAGGAGAAUAACUCAACCUCCCUGACGACCACUAUCCAAGAGCAACAACUCGAAGAAACAAUAAAUUGACGUAAAAUGACCCGAUUCUUGUAAUCGAUCAACGAACCAAGUUACCCUGGGGAUAACAGCGCAAUCCAUUUCAAGAGCCCCUAUCGACAAAUGGGUUUACGACCUCGAUGUUGGAUCAGGGUAUCCUGGUGGUGCAGCAGCUACUAAAGGUUCGUUUGUUC